AGAUUUCCGAGUCCGUGUUAAAAUUUCGUCAGACACCAACCCAUUUGGGCUGAUCAGACUUCCAAGAUAAGUGAAGUU
Molecule: non-coding RNA, 78 nt
Organism: Schistosoma margrebowiei
Lineage: Eukaryota; Metazoa; Platyhelminthes; Trematoda; Strigeidida; Schistosomatidae
Source: Rfam